CCUACGGGUGGCAGCAGUAGGGAAUUUUCGUCAAUGGGCGCAAGCCUGAACGAGCAAUGCCGCGUGAACGAGGAAGGUCUUCGGAUCGUAAAGUUCUGUUGAAGGGGAAAAAGAGCGGAGAGAGGAAAUGCUUUCUGAUUGAUAUUACCCUUCGAGGACGUCACGGCUAACUACGUGCCAGCGGCCGCGGUAAUACGUAGGUGGCGAGCGUUAUCCGGAUUGAUGGGGCGUAAAGGGUGCGUAGGCGGCCUGUUAAGUCUGGAGUGAAAGGUACCGGCUAAAACGGUACAGGUCAUGGAAACUGGCGAGCUAGAGAGCAGGAGAGGGCGGUGGAACGCCAUGUGUAGCGGUAAAAUGCGUAGAUAUGUGGAAGAACACCAGUGGCGAAGGCGGCCGCCUGGCCUGUUACUGACGCUGAGGCACGAAAGCGUGGGGAGCAAAUAGGAUUAGAUACCCGGGUAGUC
RNAcentral lists this ribosomal RNA (464 nucleotides) under uncultured bacterium. RNAcentral describes it as "partial 16S ribosomal RNA". It matches the Rfam family "Bacterial small subunit ribosomal RNA", at positions 338 to 795 of the family's 1533-position model. The record is from RNAcentral.